CACAUGGACAUGAUGACUCUCUAGCGUUUAUGGACCAACCAACCUGUAAUCAUGGACCUUAUUGUCUUGUAGACCAUUUGGUGUUUCGAGUGUUUUGGAGCUUGCACUUUGUGCAUGUAGAUACAAACUUGUGUGUUCUGGACCAUCUGAAGUCUCUCAUAGUAACUAAUAGUCCUUAUCUUUUUGUGACUUGUGUGUUCUAGAUGAUUGUUAAGAUGGUCAAAACUAUGCUUCUUCUAGGUUAAUUUGUUUGUCAACUUGCGUUCAAUGUAUGUGCAUGUUUAUAA
This 287-nucleotide long non-coding RNA is filed under the name Hordeum vulgare. Its description in RNAcentral is "long non-coding RNA (HVUL_LNC002903)". Lineage: Eukaryota; Viridiplantae; Streptophyta; Magnoliopsida; Poales; Poaceae. The record is from RNAcentral.